CGGUGGCCAUGGAAGUCGGUACCCGCUAAGGAGUGUGUAACAACUCACCUGCCGAAUCAACUAGCCCUGAAAAUGGAUGGCGCUUAAGCGAGAGACCUAUACUCCGCCGUCGCGGCAUGUGCGUUGUCUAGCGCCAGGUCGCGACGAGUAGGAAGGACGUGGCGGUUGCGUUGAAGGCUAUGAGCGUAGGCUCGGCUGGAGCUUCCGUCAGUGCAGAUCGUAAUGGUAGUAGCAAAUAUUCAAGUUCGAUCCUUGAAGACUGAAGUGGAGAAGGGUUCCACGUGAACAGUAGUUGGAUGUGGGUCAGUCGAUCCUAAGGUACUGGCGAAAGCCUUGUAUCAUCGGUGGCGUAAAAGCUUGCUUUUUGUCCCCGCCCGUCGAAAGGGAAUAGGGUUAAUAUUCCCUAACUGAGAUGCAAAGAUUGUGUUCUUCGGAGCACAAGCGCGGUAACGCGUUCGAACUUGGUAAGUCGCUCAGAGACCGAGCUAGAGUUUUCUUCUCUAGUUAAGGAACGGACUCCCUGGAAUUGGUUCAGCCAGAGAUGGGGACGUUGUUUCCGAAAAGCACCGCGGUUUCUGUGGUGUCUCGUGCUCUCUGAACGGCCCUUUAAACACCAAGGGAGGCUAUUAAUUUGCACUCAAUCGUACCGAUAUCCGCAUUAGGUCUCCAAGGUGAACAGCCUCUAGUCGAUAGAAUAAUGUAGGUAAGGGAAGUCGGCAAACUAGAUCCGUAACUUCGGGAAAAGGAUUGGCUCCAGUGGUCGGAACGGUUGGCCAGUUGGUUGAUGCUUGUCCGGCGCUGUUCUGUCUGCUUGAUGCUUUCGGGCUGACGGCGGCCUAGUGAUAGUGCUUGCUUGUUGACGCUUUCUGGUGUGUGCUUUGACCUCGGUCUUAGUAUCCUGAUCGUUCAUCUAAACGACUAAACUGGAACCGGUACGGACUCAGGGAAUCCGACUGUCUAAUUAAAACAGAGGUGACAGAUGGUCCUUGCGGACGCUGACUGUCACUGAUUUCUGCCCAGUGCUCUGAAUGUUAAAUCGUAGUAAUUCGAGUAAGCGCGGGUAAACGGCGGGAGUAACUAUGACUCUCUUAAGGUAGCCAAAUGCCUCGUCAUUUAAUUGUUGACGCGCAUGAAUGGAUUAACGAGAUUCCUACUGUCCCUAACUACUAUCUAGCGAAACCACAGCCAAGGGAACGGGCUUGGCAAAAAUAGCGGGGAAAGAAGACCCUGUUGAGCUUGACUCUAGUUUGACAUUGUGAAGAGUCAUGAGAGGUGUAGCAUAGGUGGGAGUCUUCGGACGCCAAUGAAAUACCACCACUUUCAUCGACUCUUUACUUAUUCGGUUAAAAGAGAAUUGGUCGCAAGGCCUCUUUUCGAAGUAUUAAGCGG
This 1389-nucleotide non-coding RNA is filed under the name Caenorhabditis japonica. RNAcentral's name for it is "Eukaryotic large subunit ribosomal RNA". It matches the Rfam family "Eukaryotic large subunit ribosomal RNA", at positions 1246 to 2574 of the family's 3401-position model. Lineage: Eukaryota; Metazoa; Nematoda; Chromadorea; Rhabditida; Rhabditidae. The record is from Rfam by way of RNAcentral.